UAAAAUAUACAUUAAUUAAUUAAUUCUUUAUACGAAAGAAAUAUUAAAACUUGAAAGAAAAGACAUGACAGAUGGAAGAGAAGGGAGAUUACAAUAGUUGCAUGGUUACGCGCAUCACUGGCCGACUGCAAAUAUGUGACGUUUUGCAAAGUUAGUAAAUAGUCUUUUAAUUUACGUAAUUUUAUAUGAUGAAUUUAAAUCAACUCAUGCUUAGUAUUUUAAUAAAACACUGAUAUAUGUUUUCCAAAAAUAACAAAUGAGAACAUUCAUUCAACAGCUACAGAAAUUGAUGUAUUGAUAAGAUCAAUAAAAAUGGAAUAUAAUAGUAAGAUCUUUCUUCAAUGUGAAGAAGACUCGAAAACUAGCUAAGGGAGGGUUUUGACCUCUGAGAGACCCGAAACGGCAAGUCACAGAGUUGAUGGCUCAUGUGGAUCCUCGUGUCGUUCGUUUAGCCAUUAUUAGCGUCAACGUGGAACAUAUCUUCCACGUAAGUUACCCAGUCAAUCUCCACUAGCUAGUGUAUGUAUAUGAGAAUAUGCAAUGUAUAUAGUUUUGCUUAUCUUUAUAAUAAUAUGUGUAAUAAAAUCUACAAGGAAACCAUUUUUUUGUUAUAUUUUGAUUUUGUCUUUUAAUGUUAUUUU
RNAcentral lists this small RNA (641 nucleotides) under Arabidopsis thaliana (thale cress). RNAcentral describes it as "ATSL223110". The record is from RNAcentral. Lineage: Eukaryota; Viridiplantae; Streptophyta; Magnoliopsida; Brassicales; Brassicaceae.